GACAGAGGGUGCGAACGUUGCUCGGAAUUACUGGGCGUAAAGCGCGUGUAGGCGGGUGAUCAAGUGAGGUGUGAAAUCCCUGGGCUCAACCCAGGAACUGCACUUGAAACUGGUUGCCUUGAGUGUUGGAGAGGGAAGCGGAAUUCCUGGUGUAGAGGUGAAAUUCGUAGAUAUCAGGAGGAACACCGGUGGCGAAGGCGGCUUCCUGGACAAUUACUGACGCUCAUGCACGAAAGCGUGGGGAGCAAACAGG
RNAcentral lists this ribosomal RNA (253 nucleotides) under uncultured bacterium. Its description in RNAcentral is "partial 16S ribosomal RNA". It matches the Rfam family "Bacterial small subunit ribosomal RNA", at positions 524 to 776 of the family's 1533-position model. The record is from RNAcentral.